GACGAACGCUGGCGGCGUGCUUAACACAUGCAAGUCGAACGGUAAGGCUCCAGCUUGCUGGGGUACACGAGUGGCGAACGGGUGAGUAACACGUGGGUGACCUGCCCUGCACUUCGGGAUAAGCCUGGGAAACUGGGUCUAAUACCGGAUAGGACCAUGGUGUGGAUACUGUGGUGGAAAGUUUUUUCGGUGUGGGAUGGGCCCGCGGCCUAUCAGCUUGUUGGUGGGGUAAUGGCCUACCAAGGCGGCGACGGGUAGCCGGCCUGAGAGGGUGGACGGCCCAAUGGGGACGGGGCACCGGCCCGACCCCCUAGGGGGGGAAGGAGGGGGGAAUUUUGCAAAAGGGGGGGAGGCCGGAACGAGGGGCCCCGGGGGGGGGAAGACGGCCUUGGGGUGGAAACCUCCUUUCCCCCGCGAGGAGGGGUUUGUGACGGUAGUGGGAAAAAAAGCACCGGCUAACAACGU
This 465-nucleotide ribosomal RNA is filed under the name uncultured bacterium. RNAcentral's name for it is "partial 16S ribosomal RNA". It matches the Rfam family "Bacterial small subunit ribosomal RNA", at positions 28 to 506 of the family's 1533-position model. The record is from RNAcentral.